GCCUUCGUGGUGUAGUGGUCAGCACGCUCGAUGCGUAACAGAGAGGUCUGUGGUUCGAUUCCGGCGAAGGCG
Molecule: non-coding RNA, 72 nt
Organism: Stegodyphus mimosarum
Lineage: Eukaryota; Metazoa; Arthropoda; Arachnida; Araneae; Eresidae
Source: Rfam